AUUGCUUCCGCGAAUCUAAUUCGCAGCCACCUCCGCCGCUAUCGCCGACUUCGCGCCGCUCACCUCCGGUGCGCCGCCCAUCUCCGUCAUAGCCGAGGUUCUCCGACAACUCAAUAUCGCCCGUCCUGCACUCCGCGCAAACCCUAAACUCCGUUUCUUGCGGCUAAAUCUCUCCGAUCGCCACUAAAUUCCUGAGGACCAUCUGAGCCUACGACUCCACCACCACCGCCUCGACUCCCGCCGUCCCGAGCGCCUCCGGUAUGUGCUCACGAAGUUCGCUCCCCCGAUGACGAUCGAGUACUUGGUCUUCGUCUCGUUUGCCUUGACGAAUCGAGUCUCAUAGCUCGAAGGGAGGCCGAUAAGCGCAUACGAACUGAGCUUCUUGUACUCGGCGGGGCUCGAAGGGACCGGCGUUUUUGUCUCCGGGUUCAUCGGUUGGUGGUCAAUAGAGAUCCCAAGUUCACCAAUUUUGUCGAGUUUCGGACACACAAGGUUAUUUACGGGCGAUAUGUUGGACUGCUUUUCUCGCUCUGUGUUGACAUAACGGAUAACGAGCUUGUAUACUUGGAGUGCAUUCACUUAUUUGUAGAGAUUUUGGAUCACUUCUUCAGCAAUGUCUGUAUACUAGACUUGGUAUUCAAUUUUC
This is a long non-coding RNA of Syzygium oleosum, 646 nucleotides long. RefSeq lists it as uncharacterized. NCBI's taxonomy places the organism in Eukaryota, Viridiplantae, Streptophyta, Magnoliopsida, Myrtales, Myrtaceae. The transcript has 3 exons. The record is from RefSeq and is a predicted model, not a curated record.